Molecule: ribosomal RNA, 255 nt
Filed under: uncultured bacterium
Lineage: Bacteria
Description: partial 16S ribosomal RNA
Rfam family: Bacterial small subunit ribosomal RNA
Source: RNAcentral
UACGUAGGGGGCAAGCGUUGUCCGGAUUUAUUGGGCGUAAAGAGCGUGUAGGCGGCCACACAGGUCAGCUGUGAAAACUCGAGGCUCAACCUCGAGACGUCGGUUGAAACCGUAUGGCUAGAGUCCGGAAGAGGAGAGUGGAAUUCCCGGUGUAGCGGUGAAAUGCGCAGAUAUCGGGAAGAACACCCGUGGCGAAGGCGGCUCUCUGGGACGGUACUGACGCGUGAGACGCGGAAAGCGUGGGGAGCGAACAGG